AAACUCCCAAAGAAUCCAAAGAGCAUUCUGCUGAUCCGUGUCCAGCAACAAAGGAAACAGCCAAAAGCACUGAGACUAUUGACCCCCAAUCAGAUGACAAAACAAGCACACACCUGGAGAGACAAGAACAGCAGCCAGUUAAUAGAGAUGUAGAUGUCUCCAGUUCACCAGCAUCUGAGGAGAUGUGUGUUCUAGUCGAAGCAAAUACCUUGGAAGGGUCCACUAAAGGUCCACUUAUUUCAUCAAACAGUGAUUAUAUACAAGUGUACUUCCAUGCUGUCACUUCCAAAGAGUUACAUUUGGAUCCAGA
Seriola dumerili (greater amberjack) is the source of this 310-nucleotide long non-coding RNA. RefSeq lists it as uncharacterized. The transcript has 3 exons. The record is from RefSeq and is a predicted model, not a curated record. NCBI's taxonomy places the organism in Eukaryota, Metazoa, Chordata, Actinopteri, Carangiformes, Carangidae.